CCACCGGUCUUUUUCAAGACCACAAGAGUUGGAAUAAUUUUCCG
Non-coding RNA from Aedes albopictus (Asian tiger mosquito), 44 nucleotides. NCBI's taxonomy places the organism in Eukaryota, Metazoa, Arthropoda, Insecta, Diptera, Culicidae. The record is from Rfam.